This is a long non-coding RNA of Hydra vulgaris (swiftwater hydra), 205 nucleotides long. RefSeq lists it as uncharacterized. NCBI's taxonomy places the organism in Eukaryota, Metazoa, Cnidaria, Hydrozoa, Anthoathecata, Hydridae. The record is from RefSeq and is a predicted model, not a curated record.
UUGUAUCAUACUUUAAUUUGAUUUUUUAUUUCUUGUAGGUAUUUAUUUAUUGCUCAAAAGAGUUUUUAACUUUAUCCAGAGUUGUUUGUUGCUUGAUCACUCACUCAUAUUGAGUAACAACUUUAAGAUUCAGAGUUGACUCGAAAUGGAAAAGAAAGGAAAGACUGUAUUUUUGUGUAUUUGGAUUUAUUUAUAUUUAUUGUUU